Long non-coding RNA from Homo sapiens (human), 909 nucleotides. RefSeq lists it as uncharacterized. The transcript is spliced from 4 exons. NCBI's taxonomy places the organism in Eukaryota, Metazoa, Chordata, Mammalia, Primates, Hominidae. The record is from RefSeq and is a predicted model, not a curated record.
UUUUUCUGCUCCUCACUGGUGUUGCUGGAAGUCGCUCCACAGCUGGCAGAUGAGCUGGCUGGGAAGAUACAAGGUGGCUGCACUCACUAUUGGGGGCCCUAGCUCGGAUGCCUGCCAGGCUGGGCUCAGCUGGGACUGCCUCCUACACGUGGCCUCUCCAGCAUGGUGACGUCACGGAAGCCUCAGACUCCUCACACAGAUGCUGGAUUCCCCGGAGGGAGUGUUUCCAGGGGUCCCCUGCAGAAUCAGCAAGCAACGCUUCUGACACCUGCCUCGGAAGGGCCAGAGCACCUCUGCUGUUGUGGUCCAUUGGCAAGCCAAUCACUAAGGCUGGCCUGUACUCAAAGGAAGAAUUAGAUCCCACCUCUCCAUGGGCCGCGCAGCAGAUAAUUCGGGGUCUUGGUUAAUCUACCAUGUUCUUUCUCUCCACUGCAGGGAAAUCUGAACUAACAAGAUUUUGAAUCACUCACCAAAUGGCGGUCUUCCUUUUAACUGAGUCUUAUCUCAUCCUACUACAAAAAUUUCCCAAGAAAAUGUGAAGAGUCUUGAUACGGAGCUCAGGCAGUCACGUGAGUGAAGGGGAGCGGCUGUAAACACAGAUGAAGCUUGGCUCACUCGCUCGCCAUUCACCUCCUGCUGUCCAGUCCAGUCCUGAACGACAGCCCUUUAAACAGAAGGACUCUGUUGUCUAGUUUUUUUACUGUUGUGUCCACAGCACCUAGAAUGACUCUUGGCACAUGGCAGGUACCCUAUAUAUGUUUACUGAAUAAACAUAUUUUUGUUUUCCUGAGGGCUAUGGUGCUUGGGUACAUAUCAGAAGGACCUGGGAAGCUAGCUAAAAAAAUAUGGGGCCGGGCAGGGUGGCUCAUGCCUGUAAUCUCAGCACUUUGGGCGGCUGAGGUGGGCAGA